RNAcentral lists this ribosomal RNA (492 nucleotides) under uncultured bacterium. Its description in RNAcentral is "partial 16S ribosomal RNA". It matches the Rfam family "Bacterial small subunit ribosomal RNA", at positions 29 to 507 of the family's 1533-position model. The record is from RNAcentral.
AGUGAACGCUGGCGGUAGGCCUAACAAAUGCAAGUCGAACGGCAGCACAGUAAGAGCUUGCUCUUACGGGUGGCGAGUGGCGGACGGGUGAGGAAUACAUCGGAAUCUACUUUUUCGUGGGGGAUAACGUAGGGAAACUUACGCUAAUACCGCAUACGACCUACGGGUGAAAGCAGGGGAUCUUCGGACCUUGCGCGAUUGAAUGAGCCGAUGUCGGAUUAGCUAGUUGGCGGGGUAAAGGCCCACCAAGGCGACGAUCCGUAGCUGGUCUGAGAGGAUGAUCAGCCACACUGGAACUGAGACACGGUCCAGACUCCUACGGGAGGCAGCAGUGGGGAAUAUUGGACAAUGGGCGCAAGCCUGAUCCAGCCAUACCGCGUGAGUGAAGAAGGCCUUCGGGUUGUAAAGCCCUUUUGUUGGGAAAGAAAAGCAGCAGGUUAAUACCCCGCUGUUCUGACGGUACCCAAAGAAUAAGCACCGGCUAACUUCGUG